AGGGGCGCCUACACAUGCAAGUCGAGCGAGCUCUUCGGAGCUAGCGGCGGACGGGUUAGUAACGCGUGGGAACGUGCCCUUCACUGCGGAAUAGCCACUGGAAACGGUGAGUAAUACCGCAUACGCCCUUCGGGGGAAAGAUUUAUCGGUGAAGGAUCGGCCCGCGUUAGAUUAGAUAGUUGGUGGGGUAACGGCCUACCAAGUCUACGAUCUAUAGCUGGUUUUAGAGGAUGAUCAGCAACACUGGGACUGAGACACGGCCCAGACUCCUACGGGAGGCAGCAGUGGGGAAUCUUGGACAAUGGGCGCAAGCCUGAUCCAGCCAUGCCGCGUGAGUGAUGAAGGCCUUAGGGUCGUAAAGCUCUUUCGCCAGAGAUGAUAAUGACAGUAUCUGGUAAAGAAACCCCGGCUAACUCCGUGCCAGCAGCCGCGGUAAUACGGAGGGGGUUAGCGUUGUUCGGAAUUACUGGGCGUAAAGCGCACGUAGGCGGAUCAGAAAGUUGGGGGUGAAAUCCCGGGGCUCAACCCCGGAACUGCCUCCAAAACUCCUGGUCUUGAGUUCGAGAGAGGUGAGUGGAAUUCCGAGUGUAGAGGUGAAAUUCGUAGAUAUUCGGAGGAACACCAGUGGCGAAGGCGGCUCACUGGCUCGAUACUGACGCUGAGGUGCGAAAGUGUGGGGAGCAAACAGGAUUAGAUACCCUGGUA
Molecule: ribosomal RNA, 705 nt
Filed under: Marinovum sp.
Lineage: Bacteria; Pseudomonadati; Pseudomonadota; Alphaproteobacteria; Rhodobacterales; Roseobacteraceae
Description: bacterial SSU rRNA
Rfam family: Bacterial small subunit ribosomal RNA
Source: RNAcentral